GACGAACGCUGGCGGCGUGCUUAACACAUGCAAGUCGAACGGAAAGGCCCUGCUUUUGUGGGGUGCUCGAGUGGCGAACGGGUGAGUAACACGUGAGUAACCUGCCCUUGACUUUGGGAUAACUUCAGGAAACUGGGGCUAAUACCGGAUAGGAGCUCCUGCUGCAUGGUGGGGGUUGGAAAGUUUCGGCGGUUGGGGAUGGACUCGCGGCUUAUCAGCUUGUUGGUGGGGUAGUGGCUUACCAAGGCUUUGACGGGUAGCCGGCCUGAGAGGGUGACCGGCCACAUUGGGACUGAGAUACGGCCCAGACUCCUACGGGAGGCAGCAGUGGGGAAUAUUGCACAAUGGGCGGAAGCCUGAUGCAGCAACGCCGCGUGCGGGAUGACGGCCUUCGGGUUGUAAACCGCUUUCGCCUGUGACGAAGCGUGAGUGACGGUAAUGGGUAAAGAAGCACCGGCUAACUACGUGCCAGCAGCCGCGGUGAUACGUAGGGUGCGAGCGUUGUCCGGAUUUAUUGGGCGUAAAGGGCUCGUAGGUGGUUGAUCGCGUCGGAAGUGUAAUCUUGGGGCUUAACCCUGAGCGUGCUUUCGAUACGGGUUGACUUGAGGAAUUUAGGGGAGAAUGGAAUUCCUGGUGGAGCGGUGGAAUGCGCAGAUAUCAGGAGGAACACCAGUGGCGAAGGCGGUUCUCUGGGCCUUUCCUGACGCUGAGGAGCGAAAGCGUGGGGAGCGAACAGGCUUAGAUACCCUGGUAGUCCACGCUGUAAACGGUGGGUACUAGGUGUGGGGUCCAUUCCACGGGUUCCGUGCCGUAGCUAACGCUUUAAGUACCCCGCCUGGGGAGUACGGCCGCAAGGCUAAAACUCAAAGGAAUUGACGGGGCCCCGCACAAGCGGCGGAGCAUGCGGAUUAAUUCGAUGCAACGCGUAGAACCUUACCUGGGUUUGACAUGGAUCGGGAGUGCUCAGAGAUGGGUGUGCCUCUUUUGGGGUCGGUUCACAGGUGGUGCAUGGCUGUCGUCAGCUCGUGUCGUGAGAUGUUGGGUUAAGUCCCGCAACGAGCGCAACCCUUGUUCACUGUUGCCAGCACGUUAUGGUGGGGACUCAGUGGAGACCGCCGGGGUCAACUCGGAGGAAGGUGGGGAUGACGUCAAGUCAUCAUGCCCCUUAUGUCCAGGGCUUCACGCAUGCUACAAUGGCUGGUACAGAGAGUGGCGAGCCUGUGAGGGUGAGCGAAUCUCGGAAAGCCGGUCUCAGUUCGGAUUGGGGUCUGCAACUCGACCUCAUGAAGUCGGAGUCGCUAGUAAUCGCAGAUCAGCAACGCUGCGGUGAAUACGUUCCCGGG
Molecule: ribosomal RNA, 1343 nt
Filed under: uncultured bacterium
Lineage: Bacteria
Description: 16S ribosomal RNA
Rfam family: Bacterial small subunit ribosomal RNA
Source: RNAcentral